Molecule: transfer RNA, 74 nt
Filed under: Salinirubellus salinus
Lineage: Archaea; Methanobacteriati; Methanobacteriota; Halobacteria; Halobacteriales; Natronomonadaceae
Rfam family: tRNA
About the family: Transfer RNA (tRNA) molecules are approximately 80 nucleotides in length. Their secondary structure includes four short double-helical elements and three loops (D, anti-codon, and T loops).
Source: Rfam by way of RNAcentral
GCCAAGGGAGCUUGGGCGGUUCAAGUGCUCGACUUGUAAUCGAGAAUUCGUGGGUUCGAAUCCCACCCUUGGCU